AUUGUAUGUGACAGGUGGAGCAUGUACAGAAGAUUCCCACAUAGCAGUUACAUAUGGAUAUCCUGAAGAUCACUAGAGUGCCAUGGGAUGGUGUCCAAACCUUCAACACACAGACCUAUGGAGAACACCGAUUCGUGCCAUAGCGGCGCUCCUGAGAUCAGUGUUUAUCCUCUCACAAGCAGCAUCCAGGUAAAUUUGGAGUCUUUAUCUCUAACAAAAAAUGGAUCAACCAGGGCCAUCCCAUUAGGGGAAUUCCUUAGAUCAUUCAUGGAAAUGAUACUUAUUACUUCC
Long non-coding RNA from Mesocricetus auratus (golden hamster), 291 nucleotides. RefSeq lists it as uncharacterized. The transcript is spliced from 3 exons. The record is from RefSeq and is a predicted model, not a curated record. Lineage: Eukaryota; Metazoa; Chordata; Mammalia; Rodentia; Cricetidae.